GCCCCCGGCUCAGUGGAUAGAGCACCGCUCUGCUGAACCGUAUGUCGCAGGUGCGAUUCCUUCCGAGGGCA
RNAcentral lists this transfer RNA (71 nucleotides) under Salinispora arenicola. RNAcentral describes it as "tRNA-Ser". It matches the Rfam family "tRNA". From Rfam's summary of the family: Transfer RNA (tRNA) molecules are approximately 80 nucleotides in length. Their secondary structure includes four short double-helical elements and three loops (D, anti-codon, and T loops). Further hydrogen bonds mediate the characteristic L-shaped molecular structure. tRNAs have two regions of fundamental functional importance: the anti-codon, which is responsible for specific mRNA codon recognition, and the 3' end, to which the tRNAs corresponding amino acid is attached (by aminoacyl-tRNA synthetases). tRNAs cope with the degeneracy of the genetic code in two manners: having more than one tRNA (with a specific anti-codon) for a particular amino acid; and 'wobble' base-pairing, i.e. permitting non-standard base-pairing at the 3rd anti-codon position. The record is from RNAcentral. Lineage: Bacteria; Bacillati; Actinomycetota; Actinomycetes; Micromonosporales; Micromonosporaceae.